ACAAAAAUCAAUGCAUUUUUAAUGUGAUUUCUUAAUAUAUGUGAAAAGUCUAGAAUAUGUAUCUUUAAAAAACAGAGGGAGUAUGAUCUUUUUUUAAUCAGAGUCUUGCAGAAUCCAUUAAACCCCACAAAAAUGGUCUCUCCUCCCAUUUAGAUCUGUUACUUCGUAAAAGUCAUGAUUGCUGCUAAAAUCUACGGGGGAUACUCCGGCUCAGUCAGCUUCGGCAUACCGUGAGAUUCUCAUGGAUCAUAACCCUUGCUAAUCGAUCAUCUUUAAAGGAAGUAUUCACAAGGGUGGGCAAUAUGUAAGGAAUAAAGUAUGUACGUCCUUUUGUACACCGAUGUACAUCUGGUGGACAAUAUGCAAAAGCUUUUGUGAAUUAGUGUACAUGUGGACAGUCAAAAUUAUGUGUACAUGUGACAGUCCAAAUUAUGCGUACAUGUUGACUUAUCAAAGCAGAGAACUACUCUUAUCAAAAAAAUUCAAUCGUUUGUGA
Raphanus sativus (radish) is the source of this 496-nucleotide long non-coding RNA. RefSeq lists it as uncharacterized. NCBI's taxonomy places the organism in Eukaryota, Viridiplantae, Streptophyta, Magnoliopsida, Brassicales, Brassicaceae. The record is from RefSeq and is a predicted model, not a curated record. The transcript is spliced from 2 exons.